Octopus sinensis (East Asian common octopus) is the source of this 385-nucleotide long non-coding RNA. RefSeq lists it as uncharacterized. Lineage: Eukaryota; Metazoa; Mollusca; Cephalopoda; Octopoda; Octopodidae. The record is from RefSeq and is a predicted model, not a curated record. The transcript has 4 exons.
UAAUAAUAAUUAUAAUAAUAAUAAUAAUAAAUCAGAUUUAUGAUAAAUGAGAGCGUUAAAUUACGAAAGAUUUAAUGUGCUUCCCAAGUGAAAAAACCACAACUAUUCUAAGAAUCGGAAACGAGUUACAGGUUCCUGGAAUGAUAAAGCUGACCUUGACUGGAAUUGAAAUCACUGCGCAGAAAACUGAAGCACUGUUCCGAUCAUGUCACGAGCUACUUGAAAAAGGCUGUGCAUCAACUUAGUUUUUGUACUCAGCUGUCCAAGUUGGAGGAGAAUCAUUGCCCAAUUUGAGUGUAGUCACCACCCCAAACCAGAUGCAAACAGAAUAUUUCAACCCCGCUCAGAAGGCCCUGCCCUAUUUAACAUUGUCCCGAGGGAGAUC